This 253-nucleotide ribosomal RNA is filed under the name uncultured bacterium. RNAcentral's name for it is "partial 16S ribosomal RNA". It matches the Rfam family "Bacterial small subunit ribosomal RNA", at positions 524 to 776 of the family's 1533-position model. The record is from RNAcentral.
UACGAAGGUGGCAAGCGUUACUCGGAAUUACUAGGCGUAAAGGGCAGGUAGGUGGUCUGAUUAGUCUGUUGUGGAAGCUCCCGGCUCAACUGGGAGAGGUCAACAGAUACUGUCAGGCUUGAGUAUAGGAGAGGUUACUGGAAUUCCCGGUGUAGCGGUGAAAUGCGCAGAUAUCGGGAGGAACACCAAUGGCGAAAGCAGGUAACUGGACUAUUACUGACACUCAGCUGCGAAAGCUAGGGGAGCAAACAGG